RNAcentral lists this ribosomal RNA (494 nucleotides) under uncultured bacterium. Its description in RNAcentral is "partial 16S ribosomal RNA". It matches the Rfam family "Bacterial small subunit ribosomal RNA", at positions 28 to 507 of the family's 1533-position model. The record is from RNAcentral.
GACGAACGCUGGCGGCGUGCUUAACACAUGCAAGUCGAACGGUGACGCGCCUUCCUUUUUGGCGGGUGUGGAGGAGUGGCGAACGGGUGAGUAACACGUGAGUAACCUGCUCCCUUCUUCUGGAUAACCGCAUGAAAGUGUGGCUAAUACGGGAUAUUCUGGGUCUGUCGCAUCAUGGGUCUGGGAGAGAUAGUGUUUCGGUGGGGGAUGGGCUCGCGGCCUAUCAGCUUGGUGGUGGGGUGAUGGCCUACCAAGGCGGUGAGGGGUAGCCGGGCUGAGAGGGUGGGCGGUCACAGUGGGGCGGAGACGCGGCGCAGCCUACGAGGGGAGGCAGCAGGGGGGAAUAUUGCACGAGGGGAGGAAGGCUGAUGCAGCGACGCCGCGUGAGAGAUGGAGGCCGUCGGGUUGUGAACCUCUUUCGCGAGUGAAGCAGGCCUGCCUAGUUUGUGGGUGGGUUGACGGUAGCUGGAUAAGAAGCGCCGGCUAACUACGUG